RNAcentral lists this transfer RNA (83 nucleotides) under Saprospiraceae bacterium. RNAcentral describes it as "tRNA-Leu". It matches the Rfam family "tRNA". From Rfam's summary of the family: Transfer RNA (tRNA) molecules are approximately 80 nucleotides in length. Their secondary structure includes four short double-helical elements and three loops (D, anti-codon, and T loops). The record is from RNAcentral. Lineage: Bacteria; Pseudomonadati; Bacteroidota; Saprospiria; Saprospirales; Saprospiraceae.
GCGGGUGUGGCGAAAUUGGUAGACGCGCUAGACUUAGGAUCUAGUGCCGCAAGGCUUGGGGGUUCGAGUCCCUCCACCCGCAC